CAACUAUGUUGUGGGAAUCUUUGGAUUAACAUCUUGAAAAGCUCCCAAGCUUUGUGAAAACUCUCUCCUUCUAGUUGCUUAAAUGUAGCGAUCUUUCUCCUUAGUUG
This is a non-coding RNA of Gossypium arboreum, 107 nucleotides long. The record is from Rfam. NCBI's taxonomy places the organism in Eukaryota, Viridiplantae, Streptophyta, Magnoliopsida, Malvales, Malvaceae.